GUAGGUGGCAAGCGUUGUCCGGAUUUAUUGGGGCGUAAAGCGAGUGCAGGCGGUCUUUUUAAGUCUGAUGUGAAAGCCUUCGGCUUAACCGAAGAAGGGCAUCGGAAACUGGGAGACUUGAGUGCAGAAGAGGAGAGUGGAACUCCAUGUGUAGCGGUGAAAUGCGUAGAUAUAUGGAAGAACACCAGUGGCGAAGGCGGCUGUCUGGUCUGUAACUGACGCUGAGGCUCGAAAGU
RNAcentral lists this ribosomal RNA (236 nucleotides) under uncultured bacterium. Its description in RNAcentral is "partial 16S ribosomal RNA". It matches the Rfam family "Bacterial small subunit ribosomal RNA", at positions 527 to 760 of the family's 1533-position model. The record is from RNAcentral.